UUGGAGGUGUCUUCAUAUUUCAAGAACUUCCCGCCUGGUUCCUGGGCUCUGCCUUCUGUUGGAAAUGUCUUUAAUGUUGAUCCCAUUCAACAUUUACAUGAGCAAGAAUUUCUUCAGCUUGCUCACCAUUAUGGAGAUUUAUUCAGCCUACAGCUGGGAAGAAAUAAAAGUUGUGGUAAACAGCCAUAAACUUUGAAGGAGGCUCUUCAACCGGGCAGACUCUAUCUCUGGACAUCCUUCAACACCUUUGUUUUAUCGCAUCAACAAAUGUCAAGGUAUAGAAUUCAACAAUGGUGAAGCCUGGAAGCAUUGGAAGCAAAGGAAGAUUUACUGAAAUACUGAAAAGUAUUCAGACCCAGCAGUCCAAAACACAGGCUGGGGAGGGAAAGCUGAUUUGACUAUUUUCUACCACUCCAACUUUAAUCUGUGUCUACUGCCCAUUCCUCCCGUGGUCUGUUUUGAACUUAUUGC
Molecule: non-coding RNA, 471 nt
Organism: Lepisosteus oculatus (spotted gar)
Lineage: Eukaryota; Metazoa; Chordata; Actinopteri; Semionotiformes; Lepisosteidae
Source: RefSeq, a predicted model, not a curated record